Molecule: long non-coding RNA, 3415 nt
Filed under: Ficedula albicollis (Collared flycatcher)
Lineage: Eukaryota; Metazoa; Chordata; Aves; Passeriformes; Muscicapidae
Description: lncRNA (ENSFALG00000024741.1)
Source: RNAcentral
AUGUGGCUUUGUGCCUCCAAAUUUCUCCUCUUUCUGCACCUCCAACCUUUCUCUUCUUUCUGUAACUCCAAACUUUCUCCUCUUUCUGUAACCCCAAAUUUCUCCUCUUUUUGUACCUCCAAAUUUAUUCUCUUUCUGUACCUCCAAAUUUAUCCUGUUUCUGUACCUCCAACCUUGUUUUUCUUUUUGCACCUCCAAACUUUCUCCUCUUUUUGUACCUCCAAAUUUAUCCUCUUUCUGCACCCCCAAACUUUCUCUUCUUUCUGCACCUCCAAACUUUCUCCUCUUUCUGCACCCCUCAAACUUUCUCCUCUUUUUGUACCUCCAAAUUUAUCCUCUUUCUGCACCCCCAAACUUUCUCUUCUUUCUGCACCUCCAAACUUUCUCUUCUUUUUACACCUCCAAACUUUCUCCUCCUUUUGUACCUCCAAACUUUCUCCUCUUUCUGUAACCUCAAACUUUCUCCUCUUUUUGUACCUCCAAAUUUAUCCUCUUUCUGCACCCCCAAACUUUCUCUUCUUUCUGCACCUCCAAACUUUCUCCUCUUUCUGCACCCCAAACUUCCUCCUCUUUUUGUACCUCCAAAUUUCUCCUCUUUCUGCACCUCCAAACUUCCUCUUUUCAUACCCUACUCCCCAAGGCUCACCCUGCACCACAUCUAUAGCUUUGGAGACAAGACUUAGGGGCUGUUUUACCGAGGAGUUCAGCUCUUUUUUUGUCCCUUUUGUACAUUUUUACUGGUGCUGUGUCAGAUGUUUCCAGGUUUGUGCACCGAGGUGAUGCUCCUCUGGUGGUGGGUGAUGCUAAACUGCCUGAGCCCAGCUGGGAUUUGGCUGCUGAGCCUGUUCUACCCAAUCCUUUUGGGGAAAAAAAAAAAAAAAAAACCAACACAAUUUCCCCAGGCCUGAACUUUCCCAGCAUAUCCUGUUUCCAUUUCAACCCGUUAGAGCCAGAGGCAGGAUUUUUUUCUGGGGAGGCUGAGGGCAAUUAGGAAAUUAUCCUUCUCCCCCCCUCCCCUGCCCUGAAAUCCAGCAGGAUGAAGCCAAAUAUUUGCUUUCAGCUGGGUGGAUUUUGGAGCUGGCUCCACAUGAGAGCACUGGGGUGGAGGCUUGAAUUUUGGCCGUUUUGGGUGAUUGUUUUUGAAGCAGGACCUCCAAGCUGGCUGCUUGGAGAUUGCAAAGCCAUGCCCUGUCCCAGCUGGCAUCUGCCCUGUUGUUGAUGGAAAACAGCCUGCCCGUGGGUUUUUGGGGUGGGAUGCACCCUCUCCAUCUCUGUACCCACUCAAUAGAAGGCUGCAGCACUGUUGGUAGCUUUGUAAUCCCAUUUUUUUUUUUUUUCCUGCUGUGCUGCAGGCUCUGAGCAGUGUGUGUGGCUCUGAAAUUGGUCUUGGGAGGUGCCCAGGCCUGCUGGGCACCCUGGGCAGAGCAGCAGAGCCAGUGGUCCAAAAGCAGCUCCUCAAUUCAAUGCUGAAAUCAGAUCCUGAAGCUUAAAUUUUUUAUUUUUUUUUUCUUUUACAUCUGCUCCUUGUAAAUGAUUUAUAACCCCUCAAAAUUUUGUAUCUGGAAGUAAAGUGGAUGUGUCUCUUAAAAGUAUGCCUGUCCUUUCAAAAUGUGAAUUUCUGAUUGUUGGAAUAAAAAAAAAAAAACCCCCCCCCCCCCCCCCCCCCCCCCCCCCCCCCCCCCCCCCCAAAAAAAAAAAAAAGAAGAAGAAAAAGAAAAAGAAAGAAACCUACCCCAUAUUAGCACAUUUUUGUAAUUAAUGUUUUAUGAAUGUUGUUUAAAAGAUUUGUGUAGAAUAAAUCAGUUAAAAAAAACCAAAAGGGAUUUGUUGCUGUGUUUUGCCAGGUCUCUCCUCAUGGUUCUUAGCAGCUUUCCCAGAUGCUGCCAACUCUCCAGAGGGGCUGGAGAGGCAAGAAAAUUCUUUUUAUGAAGUGUUUGAUGCACCUUGAGGAAAGGCAGAGCUCCUGGAACCUGAUGGGAGAGAUGUUCCACGAGCUGGUGACAGCUGCAAGUGCUGAAAGUCCUUGUCCCACUUAUUUAGAAGUAAAAAUGAUUUGAAAAUCCACCCCUGAGAGCAGCUGGGUGCCAGAGGUGCUGAGGAUGAGCCUGGAGCCUCCUGGAUGUUCUCCAUUCCCCUGGGAGCAGUUUUGGGUCUGGAUUUCAGCACCCAGCAUCUCCAGGGGCUGCAGCACCUUCCCCCCAUGGGGCUCUCGCACAGCCACAGCACCAGGGAUGUUUUACAGCAGCAUUAAGAUUCUUUUUUUUCCAUUUGGCAGUGGUUGAGGGGCAAGAUGAGGCCUUCCAGGUACCUCCUGGUCACAGGAGAACUAAUCAUUUUUGUCAAUAAGAGAAGUCAAGGGAAGGUUGGGAAAGAUCAGGGUCAUGAGUGAGGUUGCAGAGGCUGUGAGCCACUGAAAACACAGCUUUUAUCCAGGCUUUUCUAUUAAUGAUUUGUUUAUAUGAGGUGCUUUAAUUGCCAUUAGAUGAAAGCUGACACGUGCAUUAAUUUUGUAUAACUCUCUUUCUUUUUUUUUUUUCUUUUUUUUUUUUUUUUUUUUUUUUUCUUUUCCCCCCCCCCCUUUUUUUUUUUCUUUUUUUUUUUUUUAAUGUGCACCUCAACCCUUUUUCAAGUUGGUGAUAUUUACUGCAAAUAGUGUUAAAAAAAAAUAAAUCAGGAGAUAAGAGAUGGUAAACAGAGAUGAAAAGGGAAUGAGAGCACAGCAGUGAGCUCCUCCAGAGGAGUUUGUGCUGUGCCAACAGGGACAGAGCAAGGGGAGGGAAUGAGAGAGGGAAGCACUUACCAGAAAAAGUGGCAAUUUUGGCUUGAUAGCAAAAUUAUCUUCAUGGGAUGGUUGGAAAGUUGUGGGGGAAUGGGGAGGGUGCUGGAGGAAAAAGUGGGCUGUGCAUCCAUGGGGACACCAAGAGAGGGGACAAGGGGACAGCCAGGGGAUGGAGGGGACACCCAGAGAGGGAUGGAGGGGAAAAGAAGAGAGGGGAUGGAGGGAACAUCUAGGGGUGGAGGGGACAGCCAGGGGAUGGAGGGGACACCAAGGAAGGGGAUGGAGGGGACACUCAGGGGAUGGAGGGGACAGCCAGGGGAUGGAAAGGAUAACCAGGGGAUGAGGGGACACCCAGAGGGGGAUGGAGGGGACUCCAAAAGAGGGGAUGGAGGGGACACCCAGAGAGGGUCAGGGGAUGGAGGGGACACCCAGAGGGGGGAUGGAGGGGACACCAAGGAAGGAGAUGGAGGGGACACCCAGGCAUUGGAGGGGACACCAAGAUAGGGGAUGGAGGGAACAAGAAGAGAGGGAUGGAGGGGACAUCCAGGGGAUGGAAAGGAUACCCAGGGGAUGGAGGGGACACCAGAGAGGGAUGGAGGGGACACUCAGCCCCCCCCCCCCCCCCCCCCCCCCCCC